This 449-nucleotide ribosomal RNA is filed under the name uncultured bacterium. Its description in RNAcentral is "partial 16S ribosomal RNA". It matches the Rfam family "Bacterial small subunit ribosomal RNA", at positions 29 to 523 of the family's 1533-position model. The record is from RNAcentral.
AACGAACGCUGGCGGCAUGCCUAACACAUGCAAGUCGAACGAGACCUUCGGGUCUAGUGGCGCACGGGUGCGUAACGCGUGGGAAUCUGCCCUUCGGUUCGGAAUAACAGUUAGAAAUGACUGCUAAUACCGGAUGAUGACGUAAGUCCAAAGAUUUAUCGCCGAAGGAUGAGCCCGCGUAGGAUUAGGUAGUUGGUGGGGUAAUGGCCCACCAAGCCGACGAUCCUUAGCUGGUAUGAGAGGAUGAUCAGCCACACUGGGACUGAGACACGGCCCAGACUCCUACGGGAGGCAGCAGUGGUGAAUAUGGGACAAUGGGCGAAAGCCUGAUCCAGCAAUGCCGCGUGAGUGAUGAAGGCCUUAGGGUUGUAAAGCUCUUUUACCAGGGAUGAUAAUGACAGUACCUGGAGAAUAAGCUCCGGCUAACUCCGUGCCAGCAGCCGCCGUAA